RNAcentral lists this ribosomal RNA (689 nucleotides) under uncultured bacterium. Its description in RNAcentral is "bacterial SSU rRNA". It matches the Rfam family "Bacterial small subunit ribosomal RNA", at positions 816 to 1500 of the family's 1533-position model. The record is from RNAcentral.
CUGGGUGUGGGGGGUUUUUACUCCCCCCGUGCCGAAGCUAACGCAUUAAGCGAUCCNCCUGGGGAGUACGGUCGCAAGNCUGAAACUCAAAGGAAUUGNACGGGGGCCCGCACAANCGGUGGAGCAUGUGGUUCAAUUCGACGCAACGCGAAGAACCUUACCGGGGUUUGAACUGUAUGGGACAGCUCUAGAGAUAGAGUUUUCCUUCGGGACCCAUAUAGAGGUGCUGCAUGGCUGUCGUCAGCUCGUGUCGUGAGAUGUUGGGUUAAGUCCCGCAACGAGCGCAACCCUCGCCUCCUGUUGCCAACAGAUAAUGCUGGGCACUCUGGAGAGACUGCCGGUGACAAACCGGAGGAAGGUGGGGAUGACGUCAAGUCCUCAUGGCCUUUGUGCCCCGGGCUACACACGUGCUACAAUGGUCGGUACAAAGGGUUGCAAUACCGUGAGGUGGAGCUAAUCCCAAAAAACCGAUCCCAGUUCGGAUUGGAGUCUGCAACUCGACUCCAUGAAGCUGGAAUCGCUAGUAAUCGCGGAUCAGAAUGCCGCGGUGAAUACGUUCCCCGGGCCUUGUACACACCGCCCGUCACAUCACGAAAGCCGGCUGUACUAGAAGUCGCUGCGCUAACCCGCAAGGGGGGCAGGCGCCCACGGUAUGGUCGGUGAUUGGGGUGAAGUCGUAACAAGGUACC